GAUGAAGAACGUAGCGAAAUGCGAUAAGUAAUGUGAAUUGCAGAAUUCAGUGAAUCAUCGAAUCUUUGAACGCACAUUGCGCCCGCCAGUAUUCUGGCGGGCAUGCCUGUUCGAGCGUCAUUUCAACCAUCAAGCCCCCGGCUUGUGUUGGGGACCUGCGGCUGCCGCAGGCCCUGAAAAGCAGUGGCGGGCUCGCUGUCACUCCGAGCGUAGUAGCAUACAUCUCGCUCUGGGCGUGCUGCGGGUUCCGGCCGUUAAACCACCUUCAUAACCCAAGGUUGACCUCGGAUCAGGUAGGAAGACCCGCUGAACUUAAGCAUAUCAAUAAGCGGAGGA
RNAcentral lists this unclassified non-coding RNA (336 nucleotides) under soil metagenome. RNAcentral's name for it is "partial contains 5.8S ribosomal RNA, internal transcribed spacer 2, and large subunit ribosomal RNA". The stretch from base 1 to 120 matches the Rfam family "5.8S ribosomal RNA", at positions 35 to 154 of the family's 154-position model. The record is from RNAcentral.